Molecule: long non-coding RNA, 600 nt
Organism: Esox lucius (northern pike)
Lineage: Eukaryota; Metazoa; Chordata; Actinopteri; Esociformes; Esocidae
Source: Ensembl
CUUGACGCCAUUUGGAUUCCACGCUGUUGUACCGUGCAAACUAGAACAUUCAUUUUAGCGACUUGGUUCUUUCAUCAACUCUUGUUCAAAGUGUACAAGCUAUAUGCUUUAAAUUGGACAAUACAACAUGUGGAUUAUCACAUUGUUUUACUACAAUUUGAUGAACUCCCGAAACAAACGAAGAUCAAGGAUUUUUCUGACAACAGACCGAAAAUUUUGAACGCCGAGUCACCUACAUCUAUGUUCGGAUGUUUUGUGCUUCUUCGCAUAUCAACAGUUGAACAGGUGAUGACGUUUCCUGUAGUUUUGUUCCCGGAGGAGGAAGACUGGCAGCAGUUCCACGCCAGGAUGGAGCAAGCACAGUACUCCAAGGCACCAGAGAGGUACUCCACACCACCAUGUAGAGGAUGGCUACAUAGAACAUUUGGAGAAGAUCUAGUGGCUGGCUGACUGAAGAGAGGGUCGAGCUGAGGGCACAGCUGGCUCAACAAUCAGGUGAAAACAAGACUAUAGUUACGCUAGCAUCUUGUCAUAAUGGAACUGCAUUUGUCUGAACAUGAGCCCUUUACUGAAAUGCAAUACUGUACAGCCUUUUUGAAA